GAUGAAGAACGUAGUGAAAUGCGACAAGUAAUGUGAAUUGCAGAAUUCAGUGAAUCAUCGAAUCUUUGAACGCACAUUGCGCCCCCUGGUAUUCCGGGGGGCAUGCCUGUCCGAGCGUCAUUACAACCCUCAAGCUCAGCUUGGUGUUGGGCCCCGCCGCCCCGGCGGGCCCUAAAGUCAGUGGCGGUGCCGUCCGGCUCCGAGCGUAGUAAUUCUUCUCGCUCUGGAGGUCCGGUCGUGUGCUCGCCAGCAACCCCCAAUUUUUUUCAGGUUGACCUCGGAUCAGGUAGGGAUACCCGCUGAACUUAAGCAUAUCAAUAAGCGGAGGA
Molecule: unclassified non-coding RNA, 329 nt
Filed under: soil metagenome
Description: partial contains 5.8S ribosomal RNA, internal transcribed spacer 2, and large subunit ribosomal RNA
Rfam family: 5.8S ribosomal RNA (bases 1-120)
Source: RNAcentral